RNAcentral lists this ribosomal RNA (249 nucleotides) under uncultured bacterium. Its description in RNAcentral is "partial 16S ribosomal RNA". It matches the Rfam family "Bacterial small subunit ribosomal RNA", at positions 1252 to 1500 of the family's 1533-position model. The record is from RNAcentral.
AAGCCGCGAGGUGGAGCAAAACCCAAAAAAAGCAGUCUCAGUUCGGAUUGAAGGCUGAAAUUCGCCUUCAUGAAGCCGGAAUUGCUAGUAAUGGCAGGUCAGCAUACUGCCGUGAAUACGUUCCCGGGCCUUGUACACACCGCCCGUCACACCAUGAGAGUUGGGGAUACCCGAAGCCUGUGAGCUAACUUUUAGAGGCAGCAGUCGAAGGUAGAAUCAAUGAUUGGGGUGAAGUCGUAACAAGGUAGC